This 96-nucleotide small RNA is filed under the name Pedobacter sp. AK013. Its description in RNAcentral is "Flavo-1 RNA". It matches the Rfam family "Flavo-1 RNA". Lineage: Bacteria; Pseudomonadati; Bacteroidota; Sphingobacteriia; Sphingobacteriales; Sphingobacteriaceae. The record is from RNAcentral.
UUAUAAACCUGACAGUAGCGGCAUCCUUUUUGGCUUUUGUUGAUUUGAAUUAAAGCCAAUUUUGCCAAAAAGAUUUAGCGGAUGGCGGGACUGAAC